Molecule: ribosomal RNA, 510 nt
Filed under: uncultured bacterium
Lineage: Bacteria
Description: bacterial SSU rRNA
Rfam family: Bacterial small subunit ribosomal RNA
Source: RNAcentral
UCCGGGACAGCAGAGACAGGUGGUGCAUGGUUGUCGUCAGCUCGUGUCGUGAGAUGUUGGGUUAAGUCCCGCAACGAGCGCAACCCCUAUUGCCAGUAACCAGCAUUUCGGAUGGGGACUCUGGUGAGACUGCCGGGGAUAACCCGGAGGAAGGUGGGGACGACGUCAAAUCAUCAUGCCCCUUAUGGGCUGGGCUACACACGUGCUACAAUGGUGCUGACAGAGUGAGGCGAACCUGCGAAGGGGAGCAAAGCACAAAAAAGGCACCUCAGUUCGGAUUGUAGUCUGCAACUCGACUACAUGAAGCUGGAAUCGCUAGUAAUCGCAGAUCAGAAUGCUGCGGUGAAUACGUUCCCGGGUCUUGUACACACCGCCCGUCACACCAUGGGAGUUGGGAAUGCCCGAAGUCAGUGACCCAACCGCAAGGAGGGAGCUGCCGAAGGCAGGCUCGAUAACUGGGGUGAAGUCGUAACAAGGUAGCCGUAUCGGAAGGUGCGGUUGGAUCACCUC